Molecule: long non-coding RNA, 1177 nt
Organism: Mercenaria mercenaria
Lineage: Eukaryota; Metazoa; Mollusca; Bivalvia; Venerida; Veneridae
Exons: 3
Source: RefSeq, a predicted model, not a curated record
UGUAUCAUUACCUUCAUUAAUAGCUGACUGUAAAUGGCACAUUUGCCCAAGAAUAUCAAAAUUUCAAAUCUACACAGGAAGUUCUUUGACAGAGCAGAAUAGAGUAAAUAUUUGGGAGAGUGUUUCCCUAAAUAUUUUACUAUGUGCAGCUUAUUUCAUCUUGGAAGUUAACAAUAAUUAACAGAAUGCACCAGGUAUAGCAUCAUAUGUGUAUACACAUAUAAAGUAUCAGCACACAUGAAUGAAUUGAGACAUGUUUAGUGACCCAAUGUAUUGUGUUCAAACUUGGCUCCAUCCAACAGUUCAAAGACAUGUCAUAGCAGUGGAGCAAAUGGUGGCAAAUGACGGCUUUGUGGUGGUUAGUGAAAAACUGUGGCAAUCUACAUUGGUGGUGGCAAACACUGACAAAAAAUUUCUGGACCAGCAGUGACAUUAAGCUGAAAAUAAUGACAUAUUUUACACUGUACUGAAGAUGUAAUUGCGAAAAUUAUUUAUGAAAUAAUAUAUCUCAUCCAGUGAUUUGUCGUUGAAUAAAUCAUUGCUUGGAAUUCAGAUGCGAAGGAAUUAUAUCACGAGGGCGUAGCCCGAGUGAUAUAAUAAUACGCAUCUGAACGACAAGCAAUGAUUUAUUCAAGAGCAAAUCACUAAAUGAGAUAUAUUAUUUCGAUUCUAACACGUUAUAAAGGAUUUUAAAGUACAUCCUUGAUGACAUGCAUUAAAUAUUUGCCCGUUUUCAAUCGGUUUCUUUUCCAGCGCGCCGCUAUGCCGCUUGACGCCGUGACGUAAUAAUUGUGACGUCAGAACAGUGAUUUGUUGUAUGAUAAUUCACUGCUUUCUUCCUUCUUUGUUUCAUAGGAAAAUGAAUCGGAUCGUGUUAGAAUUAAGAAAUAAUAUAUCUCAUUCAGUGAUUUGUCGCUGAAUAAAUCAUUGUUUGGAGUUCUGAUGCGAAGGAAUUAUAUCACGAGGGCGCAACAUUACUGAAAGGAUUUUCUUCAGACUUUCACAAGUGAACAAUCUUGACGGGUAGAUACAACUACAAUUACACUGCAUCCAAAAUCAGUGGCACAGAAACCUGUAGGGGACUAUGUAUUGCCUUGCAAUACUUCAGCACCUUGUUCUUUUAUAUGUGUAACUUGUAAAUGAUUAUUUGUGUGUUUUAUAAAGUUAAGAAGUCCUA